AUGCAAAACGGCGGCGGCGGCUGGAGCUUGCAGGGGCCGGAUCCGUGCGCGGUGGGGGCUGGGGAUGUGGAUCCGAAGGCGGGCGGCGUGGGGGGGAUCGCCGGUGACAACGAGGAAGGCCGGAGCGCGGCUUCCCUUGUGGGUUCAUGGCAUCCACAGCUAUUGGGUAGAGAGGAGACAAGGAGGCGAGGGAGAGAAGAAGGGACAAAGGAAGAGCGGUGCGGUGACCUAGGCAGGAGCUCGCUGGAGCCGGGCGAUGGCGGACGGGCGCGGGAGACGGAGAGAUCCCGUGUGGCGGCGCGAAGUCCUUGCUGGUGGCGUCGACGGCUGGGCGUGCGACAUCACGGAGCCCUCCCGUUGCUACGGCGUCCGGUGGAGUGCCCUGAGGGCGCGGAUGCUGCUGCUGCACCAGCACCACCAGCCCAAGUAAUUUACAAAGCUCUAGUUGGUCAAUACAGCCUACAUGUUUUUUUUGAAUAG
RNAcentral lists this ribosomal RNA (480 nucleotides) under Triticum aestivum (bread wheat). RNAcentral's name for it is "partial small subunit ribosomal RNA". Lineage: Eukaryota; Viridiplantae; Streptophyta; Magnoliopsida; Poales; Poaceae. The record is from RNAcentral.